AGCAGCAAAAGCAACAUCCCAACCUUUGUUUUAUGCUUUUAUCCUCUUUUGUGUUGCCCCCGCUUGUCGUAGCCGCGGGAAUAUUUUCCUGUACAAAACACAAAAGAAGAGAGAAUGAAACUUUGUUCAUACUCGGGACAUUAUCAUUUUGCUAAUUACCACCAAACCAGUCACUAAGCUCAGCAAUUAAAAUUGAAAAAAAAAAAAAAAAUCCAAAUCUCUCAUUCGAUCAACGGCUCACAAAACCCUCAAAUCUUCUCUCCGGCAAAUUCUAAAAUAGUACUUUGGAAGCACCGAAUAAUCAACCCCUCCCCCCCCCUUUCUCUUAACCCCCCAAGCAAGCAAACUUUCUACAAGCUUCACCUCACGGACCUCACGAGGCCUUCAAUCCCGGCGGCUCCAUCCGCCAAAUCAAUGACACUUACACAAUUCCAUGCCCUAUCUGAAGAAGAGCAUCGACCCCGGAAACCCACCGGAGCCACUGGAAUGAGACUUAUAGUGCCACUUCAAGGUGUAGUUCAAGGCAGAGGAGGCCUGAUAUUAGGUUCUCUAAUACCUUGCGCUCUCGUCUACUUUUUCCAUGUAUACCUGAAACGACAUCGUUCUGCCAAUCCCUCUUCGAACCCUCCGUCGCCUUCCGCUUCAUCUCCAGACCUUGCGCAGAUCCCCAGGACGUCUUCGCGGUCCAACUUAUCGAGCCGGGGUUCGUUUGGCUCUGGUCGGGCAUCUAUAUCGACCCGGGCGAUGUCCAUUGCGAAGCCUAAUGAUUCCCCCUACUAUAUUGGGCUGGAUAAGGUUUCGGGGAAUCCGUAUGAUAGAACGAGUAAUCCGAAUGGGAUUAUUCAGCUUGGGUUGUCUGAGAACAGAUUGUGUCUAGAUUUGAUCGAGAACUGGAUGGCGAAGCAUCUGAGGGAUUCUAUACUGGGGACAGACGGUGUUGAGAUGAACAUUAAUGGUAUCGCGACAUACCAGCCGUUCGAUGGACUGAUAGAGUUGAAAGUGGCUAUGGCAAAUUUCAUGUCUCAGGUUGUGGGAAGAGCAGUCUCAUUUGAUGCAUCACAGAUGGUAUUAACUGCAGGUGCAACUCCUGCAGUUGAGAUUUUAUGUUUCUGCUUGGCAGACCAUGGAAAUGCAUUUCUUGUUCCAACGCCAUAUUACCCUGGAUUUGACAGAGAUAUGAGAUGGCGAACAGGUGUGGAGCUAGUACCUGUUCACUGCCGCAGCACUGACAAUUUCAUAUUGAGUGUCACUGCUCUUGAACAAGCUUACAAUCAGGCUAGAAAAAGAGGAUCGAAAGUUCGUGGCAUAUUGAUUUCUAACCCUUCAAAUCCUGUUGGCAAUUUACUGCCUCGCGAAACACUUUCUGAUAUACUAAACUUUGCCCAAAAGAAGAACAUCCACAUUAUUUCUGAUGAAAUAUUUGCUGGGUCUCUGUAUGGAGAUGGUGAAUUUGUGAGCAUGGCACAAAUUCUCGAGGAAGAAGAUUUUGACAAGAACAGGGUUCAUAUAAUAUAUGGUCUCUCAAAAGAUCUUUCUCUUCCAGGGUUUAGGGUUGGGGCUAUCUAUUCAUACAACGAAAAUGUCUUGACUGCCGCUAAAAGGUUGACUAGAUUUUCUUCUAUUUCUGCUCCAAGCCAGAGGCUGCUAGUUUCAAUGCUUUCAGAUGCAAGAUUCAUUACAGAAUAUAUCAAUACCAAUAAGAUGAGGAUUAGAAAAAUGUACGAGUUAUUUGUUGAAGGUUUGACGCAAUUAGGAAUCAAGUAUAUGCAAAGUAGUGCUGGCUUAUACUGUUGGGCUGAUAUGGGUAAACUAAUCCCCUCUUACAGUGAGAAAGGGGAACUUGACUUGUGGGAUAAGCUGUUGAAUAUUGCUAAGAUCAAUGUAACUCCUGGUUCAGCCUGCCACUGCAUAGAACCAGGGUGGUUCCGUUGCUGUUUUACUACUUUAACUGAAGAAGAUAUUCCUGUAGUCAUAGAACGGAUCCGCAAAGUUGCAGAAUCUCGUAAAUCUACUGGUUGAAUUAUAACCUUGAAUAGGAAACUUUUUUUCAGCCUUAAUUCCCUAUAGCAUUGCUAUAUAAGAGAGCACUUCUUCAACAAUCUACAUGGAGAAUUUCGAGCUGCUGAGUUGAUGAGAAACUUAAGUUCACAUUUAUGAGAAAUAAGAAUUCAACAUGUGGUUACAUCGGGGAAGUUAUAUAAUGAGUAUAUCCUUUCAAUUGGAAGUGGAAAGCUCUAACAAAUUGGUAGGAAAGCUUCAUGGAGAAAACUGAAUGCAGGGUGAUUCUGAACCGCAACACUUUGCUAUAUUAGCUUCAAUUUUGGAUGAUGCCUCUUCCUCUGCAAUCCUUCAAUCAUUUUGAUGCCAGUACCAAAGACACAGCAGCUUGUCUCUGGUAACUCCUCCGGCUCAUCAUUAUCAAUUCUCCUAGUGUUGGUGGCCUCUUUGUCACGACAUUAGUGUCACUUUCAUGAUCAAAAGUGCUGCUCUUUAGCUCUGGAGGCGUGUGGGAGCUGUUUUUGGAGUAGGAGACCUUCCCAAGGAAACCAGAAUUGGGUGGAUAUAGCGGAAAGAGACACUCCAAGAAAGAAGCCCCUGUAAGGCUUGCAAUGGUUUCAUAACUGCUGCUGCUUGUGCUGCUUUCAGUGUCAGAAGCAGGUGAGGAAGGGUUUUCUAACUGGUCAUUGAUGUCAUUUUUUGCGAAAGUUUUUGGCACUGGUACAGUAGUGGAAACUGCUGAUGACAAUACCAGGCAAUUUGCCAAGAGAGAGGGUGCGGAGCUGAAUGAAUCAUCAGUUUCAUAACUGUGUGAUUCAGGAUUUAAGUCAAAGGUUAUAAGUGCCGACUCUGUUGAUGACUGUGAGAAACAGGAUAGAGGCUUUCCAGGCUUUUCCUCCCAGUUGAAAGGAACAGAGGCAACAAGCCUGACUGGAGAUGGUAGAGCUAGAGCAGUAACUGAAGAAACAACAGGUCUCCAGCCCUUCUUUGCUACCCCUGGCCUUUCCUCCCAGAGAAAUGGAAUUGAUGGUGGUUGCCUGAUGUGCCUUCUUUUCGAGGGUUCUACGACUUCAUUCUCUUCCAUUCUGAGAAUAGGUAUGAGAAGCUAUGAUCAUUCCAUGUAUUGCAUCCUUAACUGUUCAUUUUCUAACAUAUUUAUAUAGAUAUAUGGCCGGAAGUAUGGUUACAGAGGUGUGUUGAUUUGUCACUAAAACUCUGCCUGCUAACCGCACCAUGUUUUGGAAAGAGGAGAUUAGGCGUACCUGCUCUCUCUACUUUCAUAGACACUAUUGCCUUAUGGUUUUGGUAAGAGUUUUGGCCAAAAUCGCCACUCAGCAAUGCCCGGCGUUUUUUUUAUUUGGGCCAUAGAGCAAUGACCCACUUACUAUUAUAAUAUAUGUAUAUACAUUAUUUAGUUCCUUUAAUUUUAAAAAUUUAUACUAGAUGGUUCCUCUUAUCAAUAC
This is an RNA transcript of Manihot esculenta (cassava), 3461 nucleotides long. It is a transcript of the gene named probable aminotransferase ACS12, with no coding region annotated. The transcript has 6 exons. Lineage: Eukaryota; Viridiplantae; Streptophyta; Magnoliopsida; Malpighiales; Euphorbiaceae. The record is from RefSeq and is a predicted model, not a curated record.